AGGGACUGCCUGAAAUGAAAAGUGGCUCUUUAGAAACAAGGAGGAUUUUAUCGCUCAGGCAGAAGCCUCAUAAAGGCUGCCAUGAGAUUUGCCUCGAACAGUUAGGAAGGCACCUUCAUCACAGAAGGCCUGCAAAGCUCAGAGUAAAGUGCCCAUGAGAAACCGCGGAGACAAUUAACCCCUUAUAAUAUUUCUGAAAGGAAAUAUCCAGAAUCCUGGAAGAAGAAAAUUAUCUUGUUUAAAUAGCUUUUAAUUAACUGCAAGGAACCAUGAAACCGUUUUGAGUGGAGUCAAAAGGGGCCAUUUGAGCCGCAGAGACACUAUCCCAACAACCAAAACAUUGAACUUUCGUGGCAAGCUUUGGUAGCACACAGGCCUUCAGCUAUUUUACUGUAGUGCAUAUGUUAUGUGUCCACAAAGCUACGAACAAUUUUUGCUUAAGGAAAUUGACUUUUCAUUGUGAUGAAAAUCCACGAGGACAGGAGAAAAAAAGGAGAAAAGGCCAAGAAGAAGAAAAGAAAUGUGUUUCUUACAUUCUGAGGAAAAUCAGCAGAAUAUGUGAAGUUUUUUGUUUAGUUUUUUUUUAAUUCCUGUUGCAGAUAACUUUUUUGCCUCAUUGAGAAAGAUGACUUCUGUAAAUCAUAACCCUGUAUGCUAACAGCUAGUGAUCCAAAAUGAAGACAGUUUUCCCCACCAUUUCCAGCAGGAGAGUCCAUUGGAUGAUUCUCACCAUGUCUGGGUCCUUGUGCCCAGGUUUCAGUCAAUUGCUCCUCCCAAAGGGUUGCGGUGUGAUCACUGGCCUAGCACAGCUUAAAUGCUCGGGCUUGUUGUCAUGGAGAACAAAAUACAAAGAAUGAUGAUUCCAGCAAGACCACAGGUGAAAUAUAUUCCGACGAAGAAUGAGAAAUCUAUAGCAUAAUUUGAAUUGUUGAAAACAAGGAAAGAAAUAUCAAAGGAUGCCAUUUAUAGGAUAAGAAUAGGAGGUAAUUGAAAAUUCGAUUUUAUUAGGGCAAAAGCUAACAGUUUGAAACCAGUAUAAAGCACUGGGUGUCUGGGAGAAAAGGAAAAGGAAAGGAAGUUGGGAAGGACCUCAGGCCUAAGAAUGCACAAAUGUCAUUUAUGUGGAAAUUGCACCUUCAAUUUUAAUACCAACUGAUAUCUGAUGUUUCACAGAUAUAUUAUUAUUAAUUAGAGAUGUUACAAAAUUCUGCCUAAGCAAACCCAUCUCUCCAGAUCAGGUGUAUAUUUCUAGCCAAAUUCUACUCCUAUGUGAAAGGAUACAAAGCAAAAUAAAAUAAAAUCAAGAAAUACGAA
Molecule: long non-coding RNA, 1314 nt
Organism: Homo sapiens (human)
Lineage: Eukaryota; Metazoa; Chordata; Mammalia; Primates; Hominidae
Source: Ensembl